RNAcentral lists this ribosomal RNA (446 nucleotides) under bacterium enrichment culture clone Pav-FEB-Bd8a-C1. Its description in RNAcentral is "bacterial SSU rRNA". It matches the Rfam family "Bacterial small subunit ribosomal RNA", at positions 82 to 524 of the family's 1533-position model. The record is from RNAcentral.
GGUCUGGUGGCGAGUGGCGAACGGGUGAGUAAUGUAUCGGAACGUGCCUAGUAGCGGGGGAUAACUACGCGAAAGCGUAGCUAAUACCGCAUACGCCCUACGGGGGAAAGCAGGGGAUCGUAAGACCUUGCACUAUUAGAGCGGCCGAUAUCGGAUUAGCUAGUUGGUGGGGUAAUGGCUCACCAAGGCGACGAUCCGUAGCUGGUUUGAGAGGACGACCAGCCACACUGGGACUGAGACACGGCCCAGACUCCUACGGGAGGCAGCAGUGGGGAAUUUUGGACAAUGGGGGAAACCCUGAUCCAGCCAUCCCACGUGUGCGAUGAAGGCCUUCGGGUUGUAAAGCACUUUUGGCAGGAAAGAAACGUCAUGGGCUAAUACCCCGUGAAACUGACGGUACCUGCAGAAUAAGCACCGGCUAACUACGUGCCAGCAGCCGCGGUAAU